UACGUAGGGUGCAAGCGUUAUCCGGAAUUAUUGGGCGUAAAGAGCUCGUAGGCGGUUUGUCGCGUCUGCUGUGAAAACUGGAGGCUCAACCUCCAGCCUGCAGUGGGUACGGGCAGACUAGAGUGCGGUAGGGGAGAUUGGAAUUCCUGGUGUAGCGGUGAAAUGCGUAGAGAUCGGUAGGAACACCAGUGGCGAAGGCGGUCUCCUGGGGCAUUCUUGACGCUGAGACGCGAAAGCUGGGGGAGCGAACGGG
This 253-nucleotide ribosomal RNA is filed under the name uncultured bacterium. Its description in RNAcentral is "partial 16S ribosomal RNA". It matches the Rfam family "Bacterial small subunit ribosomal RNA", at positions 524 to 776 of the family's 1533-position model. The record is from RNAcentral.